Long non-coding RNA from Fukomys damarensis (Damara mole-rat), 727 nucleotides. RefSeq lists it as uncharacterized. The transcript is spliced from 4 exons. The record is from RefSeq and is a predicted model, not a curated record. NCBI's taxonomy places the organism in Eukaryota, Metazoa, Chordata, Mammalia, Rodentia, Bathyergidae.
GUUCCGGAUUGUGGGCGUCCUGUCGUUCCUGAGAAAGAGAAUAAAAAAGAAGCCAUUCAGCACUUGCUGCGGCAAAUGGCUGUGGGGGGAAAUGUCUUGGUAUUACCCACUAAAAAAGAAAACUAAGAUAUUGGCAAAGAAAAUUGGAGCUUCACAUAUUACUAUCGUGAAAAUGGAAUGGCUUAGCCUCUGAGGAAAACAACUUGGCAAUUCCUCAAGCAACAUACAUAGAAGGACUCUAUGACCCAUCUGUUCCACUCAGAGAUGCUAGGUGGGGAAAUGAAAGGGAUCGCAGGUUACUCUGAACCCUGCUCUCAGCAGCUGAGAAUUCCCAGAUGUCCCCUCUACUGUGGUCCUCACCCCGAGGCUGAAGAUCUCAGGCCUCCUCCCAGCCAGAGAGAAGACACACAUGAAACUGACACAUUGCACCAGUCCUGACAGAGUAAAGCAGCUCAUCCUCUCAGGUAGCUGUUUCCAGGCGCUGCUCAGCUCUUACCCCCCACACACGUAAUGCCAUGUGGUGGCUUCGAUCCUCUGCCUACACCCCAUGACCCUGCAUUUUCCUGUUCCUAUUUGUUGUGUCCGUGUCUAGAGGUCCCCCAAAGCUUCAUGUGGUCGUGGUAGGCUGGAUCCAGAGUGUGUGGCACUCAAAUCGAUUCAUGGCGUGAUGUUAGGCUCAAGGGCACUGGGAUUAAGGGUGUGAGUGCUGCCUGCCCUAAGUAGCCUG